Molecule: long non-coding RNA, 3153 nt
Filed under: Sus scrofa (pig)
Lineage: Eukaryota; Metazoa; Chordata; Mammalia; Artiodactyla; Suidae
Description: lncRNA (ENSSSCG00030023885.1)
Source: RNAcentral
ACUUCACUUGGGACUAGAGUGAAGCAGCUUCACAGUGGUUCUGAAAAGGAGCUUCCAGGGCACUCUUCCCAAAAUGGACAUCCUGCUCCAAGCCUAGAUCCAGGCUUCACACCCUCUCUCUGGGCUCUGGGGAUCAGAGAAACCCAGGCGUGCCAGGAGGAGUUCAGCUGAUCAAGCUUUGAGAACAGUUUCUGCCCCAUAUGAAGAUUGGGCUUGGCUGUCCCCACCCUAUCCUCAAAAGAAACAGACAAACAAACAAACAAAAACCGUAUAGCAAGUGGGUUCUUCUGUCAAGUGGGUAAUUUAUUCUCAAGUACCAAGCAAAUGUUCUGCAGAUAACCAGCCGAAAACCCAACCAGGGCAAGGGGAAGACUUGUUAAAGAGGAAUGUCGGAGAAGGAUCUCAGGAAAUAUUUGGCAAGAAGCCUCUUGCAGAAAAGAGAUCCCCAGUCAUGAAUGAGCAGCCGACUAGAGUGCUCACAGAGAACCUCAUCCCCAAGCUCAGCUCAGUCCCCACAUCAAGGACGGAAUCACUCUGCCUGGAGGAACUGGUUCAGAAAGAGCCUCAGGGGGAGGAUACACACAGGAGGGGAGUUUCCCUUAAAAACAAAAGCAAAUAAGUUUUCUGUUGUUAUUAUUGUUUUUCCCCUCUUAUCUCCCUCUGACUGGACAGUAACCUCACACCACAUGCCUUCCAGCGAACACUCAUUACCCAGUAAAUCAUGUGACCCCUUCUGUUUACUUAGAGGUGCUUGCCCAACUGGGGCCUCUCAUCCAGACCAUUUCGGUAACCAGUAACCCGCUUCAGAGUGGUUUUCACUGGAAAGGGAACUUCUGGGCAACAGAUAAGGCAACUUAUUCAUUUGCAUAGAGGAACCCUGGAGUGACUCAUUUGCAUGGAGUUUUUCCCUGCGCUGCUGGGAGAAGCCAUGAACCCUCAGACAGAUUAUGAAACUGCCAAAAAAUGUCUUUAGAGAAUACCAGCCCUAUUUUCUACACAAUAUGGAGUGUCUAUAGAAAAUCUCCUUCCAAAAUUAAUACUAGGUUCCUUUUCAAAACUGUAAUGCUUCAAAUUCUGGAAUCAUUGAAAUGCAAAUGUAAAUAUUUUUGCUGAAUGCUUUAGCAAAACCUCUGAUAACAGUUUUAACUCUGAUUUUUUUUUAAAAAAAGAAAAAAAUGGCUACUUAAAAUGAAAAGAAGGUGGAGAUUGCUUUUGAAGAGAUGAAAUGCCUGGCCCUGAGUCCAAAGAAGUAUAUCUCUAAGUGGACCUGGGAACUUCCAAGGUCAGAAUCUCCUGGGCUGAGCACUGAGGAAGUUCCCCAGGCCCUACCCCAGGCCUGAAAAAUUAGAAUUGCAAUAAAAUUGGGCUUCAGAAAAUAUGCUAGAGACAAACCACGAAAACAAAAAGUAUAGCCACAAGAGAGUUCCCUGGUGGCCUAGUGUUAAGACAUUUUCACAGCUGUGACACAGGUUCAGACCCUGGCCUGGGAACUUCUGCAUGCUGUAGUCAUGGCCAAAAAAUUACUAUUUUUUUCUUUUUAUGGCCGCACCUAUGGCAUAUGGAAGUUCCCAGGCCAGGGGUUGAAUUAGAACUGUAGCUGCCCGCCUGCACCACAGCUACAGCAAUGUGGGAUCUGAGCCACACCUACACCAAAGCUUGCAGCAAUGCCAGAUCCUUAACCCACUGAUCCAGCCCAGGAAUCGAACUCAUCUCCUCAUGGGUAUUAGUCAGGUUCUUAACCCUCUGAGCCAUGACAAGAACUUCCCAAAAGAUUAAUAAAUAAAUAUAAGAGUGAAUUUAAAAAAAUUAUAGCCCCCUGGAGUUCCCAUCAUGGCUCAGUGGUUAAUGAAUCCAAUUAGGAAGCAUGAGGUUGUGGGUUUGGUCCCUGGCCUCGCUCGGUGGGUUAAGGAUCUGGCGUUGCCUGCUGUGAGCUGUGGUGUAGGUCACAGAGGUGGCUCGGAUCCUGUGUUGCUAUGGCUGUGGCAUAGGCUGGUGGCUACAGCUCUGAUUAGACCCCUAGCCUGGGAACCUCCAUAUGCUGUGGGUGCAGCCCUAGAAAAGACGAAAAAGACAAAAAAAAAAAAAAAAAAAAAAAAAAAAAUAGUUAUAGUCACCGAAGAACUCUUCAGGUGAAAUGUUAUACUUACUGAUAUGUGACAACUGUGCUUCUAAAAACACCGUUUUGAAGACCUUUUCAGUCUACUCACUGGCUAGUUUUUCAAGGUAAAUAGGCAUUUUAUUCAGCUUUUUAAAAAAAGUCCUUAUCCCCUAGGAUUGGCCUUGCAGGACAGAUGUCUUGUAAUAUGACUAGGGAGUGCUGGAAACAUAUCAAUAUAGCAGAUGUGUGUCUGUGCAAAUCCUGAAAGCAGCAGGGUGGGUGCAGAAACUGGAGAGGUGAACUGAGUCCUGUAGGCAGGUAUUCAACCAAACGGUUGAUUCCAAUUUAUAGAUGCCAUUUUAAAGCCUGUACAGCCCUCAGGACCCAGUUUCUCACCUCUGACUAAAUGAAUUGGGAACAGAAUCCAGUCAUAGAUCAGAGCUGCAUAUGAUGAAAACCUUGAGAAUCUUGGAAGCAAGGUCACUGCAGCAUUACUGCUACUCAAGAACUUCCUAUAGUCCCCUGAAUAAAAUUAGGGUUCUAUCAGCAGAGAACUGUUCACUGGCUGCAGGACAGGUUAUGGAGAGCAGACAAGAUCUCUGCCAAGGGGAUGGAUCAUGCAUGAUGUUUGGUUAGGGAGUUCCUUCCUAAUGGCCAAGAAUAAAUAGCCUGCCCUAGAGAAAAGUUCAUCUGAUUUUAGAAAAUGAAAAAGUAAUAUUUCUUAUCUGAGUGUUUUAUUUCAUUUUCUGGAAGUAGCAUUCUUGCCUUCCUGUUCUAAUGGUAGAAGUUUGGUUUAUCUCUUAGAACUUGGGACAUCUGAGUAACCUGCAGGCUUGCCAGAAAGGUCCUUCCUUUGGAAGUCUCCAGCAGGCCCUCCCUGCUCAUUUUUUCCAUCUACCCCUCUGCUGCAAGAAGUGUAUGUUUGUCUGGGCAUGCACACAUGCAUUGGCAUUUUUCACCAAGGAGUUUCUAGAAAUAUCUAAGUGAGUUUCUGAAAUGUCCAAGCUGGAUGUUUUUUCUUUUUUUUCCUGAAGUGAAUAAAGCCUGAGCAGGAG